This 238-nucleotide ribosomal RNA is filed under the name uncultured bacterium. RNAcentral describes it as "partial 16S ribosomal RNA". It matches the Rfam family "Bacterial small subunit ribosomal RNA", at positions 796 to 1041 of the family's 1533-position model. The record is from RNAcentral.
CACGCCGUAAACGAUGGAUACUAGCUGUUCGGAGCAAUCUGAGUGGCUAAGCGAAAGUGAUAAGUAUCCCACCUGGGGAGUACGCACGCAAGUGUGAAACUCAAAGGAAUUGACGGGGGCCCGCACAAGCGGUGGAGCAUGUGGUUUAAUUCGAUGAUACGCGAGGAACCUUACCAAGGCUUAAAUGUAGAUUGACAGGACUGGAAACAGUUUUUUCUUCGGACAAUUUACAAGGUGC